This 761-nucleotide ribosomal RNA is filed under the name uncultured fungus. RNAcentral's name for it is "eukaryotic LSU rRNA". The stretch from base 96 to 761 matches the Rfam family "Eukaryotic large subunit ribosomal RNA", at positions 1 to 649 of the family's 3401-position model. The record is from RNAcentral. Lineage: Eukaryota; Fungi.
CUGCUGCGCCUACUGGUGUGAUAAUAUCUACGCCUUGCGAGGACAAAUGCCUGACAGCGGCUCACACCGUCUUUGGACAACUUUCAUUAACGCUCUGGCCUCAAAUCAGGCAGGACUACCCGCUGAACUUAAGCAUAUCAAUAAGCGGAGGAAAAGAAACUAACAAGGAUUCCCCUAGUAACGGCGAGUGAAGCGGGAAGAGCUCAAAUUUGAAAUCUGGCGGUCUACGGCCGUCCGAGUUGUAGCCUAGAGAGGUGUUUUCCGUGUCGGACCGUGUACAAGUCCCUUGGGAUAGGGCGUCAUAGAGGGUGAGAAUCCCGUUCAUGACACGGACUGCCGAUGCUUUGUGAUGCGCCUUCAAAGAGUCGAGUUGUUUGGGAAUGCAGCUCAAAACGGGUGGUAAAUUCCAUCUAAAGCUAAAUACAGGCGAGAGACCGAUAGCGAACAAGUACCGUGAGGGAAAGAUGAAAAGCACUUUGGAAAGAGAGUUAAAAAGUACGUGAAAUUGUUGAAAGGGAAACGCUUGGAGUCAGUCGCGUCGACAGAGACUCAGCCUUGCUUUUGCUUGGUGCACUUCUCGGUUGAUGGGCCAGCAUCAAUUUUGACCGCCGGAGAAGGGCUGGGGGAAGGUGGCACCUUUCGGUGUGUUAUAGCCCCCUGUCGUACACGGUGGUCGGGAUUGAGGUUCGCAGCACGCCUUUAUGGUCGGGGUUCGCCCACGCCACGUGCUUAGGAUGCUGGCGUAAUGGCUUUAAACGACC